Rhagoletis pomonella (apple maggot) is the source of this 541-nucleotide long non-coding RNA. RefSeq lists it as uncharacterized. The record is from RefSeq and is a predicted model, not a curated record. NCBI's taxonomy places the organism in Eukaryota, Metazoa, Arthropoda, Insecta, Diptera, Tephritidae. The transcript has 4 exons.
UGACGUAUUCUAGGAACUCAUGAAAUGUGAUGAACAGCAUUACAGGUAAUCUGGUAGGUCCGGUGAAUUCACUAGCUCCUCACUGGUGCGUCGUGUUCAACAUUCGCUGAGUUACCUAGCAAUAAAUCGUUGUAGGUCGUUGUGAACCAGCUGCACUAUCAGCAGGUAGAGGAAAUACCGCCCACAAUCAACUUUCCGGGUUUAAGUGCUAAGCAACUGGAGGAGCUGAAUGCGAAGAUAGACAAGGAAAACCGCGCACUCUAUGUAAUACGAUAAAAUAUAUUAAUCGGAACUUAAUAACUUAAUUUCGUUAAUUAAUUACUCUUUAACUGUCAUGGAAUAUAACGUAGAUGGAAUUCACGGUAAAAAAUCUCUAAAAGGUCUAGACAACUUUUACGAUGCGCUGAUAGAAUCAAUCCCAAUUGGCGACAACUUAGGCCCGGCUGAGUUACGGAAGGCAAUACAGUUGCAAAAAAAAUAGAUUCAUAAAGGCAAAAUGUAUAGGCCAAAAUAACCACCAAAAAUAUAUUUAAUUUAUGUU